RNAcentral lists this ribosomal RNA (305 nucleotides) under uncultured bacterium. Its description in RNAcentral is "bacterial SSU rRNA". It matches the Rfam family "Bacterial small subunit ribosomal RNA", at positions 30 to 335 of the family's 1533-position model. The record is from RNAcentral.
AUUGAACGCUGGCGGCAGGCCUAACACAUGCAAGUCGAGCGGUAGAGAGAAGCUUGCUUCUCUUGAGAGCGGCGGACGGGUGAGUAAUGCCUAGGAAUCUGCCUGGUAGUGGGGGAUAACGCUCGGAAACGGACGCUAAUACCGCAUACGUCCUACGGGAGAAAGCAGGGGACCUUCGGGCCUUGCGCUAUCAGAUGAGCCUAGGUCGGAUUAGCUAGUUGGUGAGGUAAUGGCUCACCAAGGCGACGAUCCGUAACUGGUCUGAGAGGAUGAUCAGUCACACUGGAACUGAGACACGGUCCAGA